ACUUGGAGGAAUGUAUAGCAAUUGCUAAUUGUAUCAGUAUAUUAUUGACGCAAUAUCGACUUGGUCGGAUAAAAUUCUGGGUAAAAUUAUGAUAAUGACAUUAUUUACUUAUGUGUCUUGACCAAAUUACGUGCCAGCAGUCGCGGUAAUACGUAGAAGACUAGUGUUAUUCAUCUUUAAUAGGUUUAAAGGGUACCUAGACGGUAAAUGAAGCCCUAACCGGAACUGAUUUACUAGAGUUACUUAUGAGGGAGUUUAAAUGUACAAGAGGUGAAGAGAUGAAAUUCUGUCAUACCUUUUUUCUAUGAAUAAAUAUCGGCACAGUCAUAGGUGAAAACAUCUUCUUAUGGGAUAACUGACGUUGAGGGACGAAGGCUUUUUAUCGCCAACAGGAUUAGAUACCCUGGUAGUCAAAGCAGAAAAUGAUGAGUGUCAUAGAUUAGAUAAGUAUUUACUCUAUAAAUGAAAGUGUAAGCACUCCACCUCAAGAGUAAUUUGGCAACAUUGGAACUGAAAUCAUUAGACCGUUUCUGAAACCAGUAGUGAAGUAUGUUAUUUAAUUUGAUGAUCCGCAAAAAACCUUACCACAACUUGAAUAUUUAUGUUUUUUCUCUCUUUCUCUAUUGAGAGGUAAUGAGAGGAAUAUAGAUACAAGCGUUGCACGGCUGUCUUCAGUUAAUGUCGUGAGACUAUGGUUAGUUCCAUUAAAUUAACGUAAACCCUUACUUUAUUUUUAAAUAGAGUGGUUCUCCACUAUAUUGGAUAAGAUAACA
This 773-nucleotide ribosomal RNA is filed under the name Micarea adnata. Its description in RNAcentral is "SSU rRNA". It matches the Rfam family "Bacterial small subunit ribosomal RNA", at positions 351 to 1150 of the family's 1533-position model. The record is from RNAcentral. Lineage: Eukaryota; Fungi; Ascomycota; Lecanoromycetes; Lecanorales; Micareaceae.